This 1826-nucleotide long non-coding RNA is filed under the name Homo sapiens (human). RNAcentral's name for it is "HSALNT0290318". Lineage: Eukaryota; Metazoa; Chordata; Mammalia; Primates; Hominidae. The record is from RNAcentral.
CAUCUUUGGAUUUGUGAUGGGUCUGGAAGAAAAUCCUGGGCACUUAGUAAGAACACACCAACCCUUGAGACUUCUUCUAAGAUGAGGUCAGUUCCUUGGGCAAAGGGUGAGGGACGUGGUAAUCAUGCGAGGGGAAGAAUGCCCCCUGGACCUGGACCUGGACCUGGACCUGGACCUGGACCUGGACCUGGCCCAGGCCACAGGCUGGGAUUCUGCAGAGGCUCUAACUCGGGCCACUCAGCUGUCGGCGGCCCGGAGGAAUCUGCUUUGUUAUGGCUUUCAGGGUAGGCUGAUGUUGUCUUUUUCCACACAGCAUAUACAGGGUAAUUGGUACUCUGAGUCCAUCACUAUGUGAGGUAUUCUGAACAUCCUUGAGGAAUACCAAAAAAGGCAAUAACAACAAACUCACAAUCCAAUUGGGAGGAUAAGAUCUACAUCCUUGAAGUGACUCUGUAGGAAACCUAGCCCAUGUAUCAACAAUGAAAGAGUGAAGGAGAACUGGGGAAGAACCUGUGAUUUUACGUCCUUUCCACAUCUUUUUCUGAAACAAGCGCUUCUCUUUGAAGAAAGACCUCUUGCCCUUGGAGUGUCAAGAUAAGAAAACUUUCAGCAACUUCCCUUGGAAACUACAAAACACCCAUCAGCACCCAGGAUCUAAGUACAGUCGCUCCCCAGCUGCUGGCCCCUCUGAAUAGCUUUUAUGGUUCAAUGAGGGGUGGUGACAGGGCCAUGUCACUACCGUAGGGUGUGCUAUUUCUUUCAUGUUCCUGGGAUCUGACAAGAGCCUUCCACAACCUGUUUCUUUACAACACACAGAAUGAGAGAUUAAAGACCAAUACCAGACUCAAAGCAGGGGCUGGGACUGGCAACGGCUUCUCACCAGAUGUAUUCUCAAUCUUUCGGGGAAAGAAGAGCCACAGACUGCCUGAGCAGAUGCUGUGCAAAAGCUGCUGUGAUGCCUAAAUGAGAUAAUACAUAGAACCAUGGCUGAAUGGAUAUGGGUUUCAUAAAACCACACUAAUUCAGAGCCACUAGUUGGGGGUAAAGGGGAAAGAACACCAAGAAAGGAAACACAAAUUAGUGAAAAGUCUAAAUUAUAGGACUUCUGAUUAAACAUGACAGAUCUAGUCCAGAGACCCCUCUAAAGGGAAAGCAAAGGGAUACAAAUGGCACAAAUCCAAAAGGAUAAAGAGAAGGUGUCAACAAUAUUUUAGAAGCUGAAAAGCAGAUGGACACGUGGCGCUGAAAUGUAAGCCUUGAGGGAGUGGAAGCCACAAAGCAGAAAGCUAAUUAGGAUGGUGGCCUCCACUGCAUUUCAGAAAGAUGGAGGCAGCAAGUAGCUCUGAAGGCCUGGAGCAUAAAGGAGAAACAGAUAGGCCUGGAGUGAGGUGAAAACAGGAAGAUUGGUUAAAAGGCUGCAUGGGAAGCAGUUAGAGCUUCAGGUCCCCUCUCUCAUCCCCAUUCAGUUUUGCUCCUCUCAACAGGAGCCCAGAGUCAGCAGGUCCCCACUUGAUCAUUCCACAGUAAGGCCCCCUCAGCCUCAAACCAAGAGCUCCCAAUUGGCUUUUUAGUGCCUCAUCUUUAAAGAGGAGUAGAACAGAUAGUCAAGAAUCACCAGAUUCUCUGGGGACUGUCUCUAUUCAUGAAAGAAAAAGACCAAAACAAAUAAAUGGAAGAAAGAAACUCAGAAUAGUACUGCUAUAGUACUACUAUAGAAAAAUAGCUUAGAGACAAAAAUAGCUAGACAACAACCAGUCAGAUGGGAGCAGAGGACAUCAAGAGGGAGAAUUUAAUUAGAAACCAAUAAAUUACUCAGUGCAUUUGUA